GGCAUUUGAACAUUUAUGGGUAAAUUAUGCUUGUUUGGCGGCAAAUCAAAAUAAUGGUCAGCAAAGAAUGUGUACAACAGAGUACUUAUUUUAAGUUUUGACCUCCCUCCAAAUAUUUGGUACAACUUAGUAUAUUAAUUUUUACUUCCCUCCAAUUAUUUCAUCAAUGAAAUAUUCCCUCUUCUGCCGCACACAUAUUCACCCACAAUUUGCAAAAGGAUUCCUCUAUGUCACGGUAAGCCAUAGAAGAACUAGGGUUUCUGGAUUCAUUAUCUCUCUCAUGAUCGUCACGCACAAGUAAAUCUAUCUUUCAUCGUCGUCUCUCUCACUAUCACCAACCAAUAUCACCAGGCAGCCUCUCUUUACUCUCUCUAUUUCUAUCUCUUUUUCUUUAGGUAUUGAUUUCUUGUUGUUGAUGGCCGUUCUAAAAUCUACAAGUCACAAAUAAUCUUCAAAUUUGAUAUAUACAAGUUGAAUAUGCAUUUAAUUUGGUCAUGGUAAGUACAGUUUAUAUACUAAUAAUUACCUUCAUUUUAUUGUAGGAGAAUUUGUUUCUUUUUUCCCAGACGAAAAUAGAGCAGUGAUGGUGAAUCAUUUGUAUAUAGAUUACAAUUGGUAUUUCACGAAGUUUUUUGUUGGAGAAAUUUUUCCUUUUACGGUACCAUGACAUUAUUGUAAGGUAAACUAGAUUUCCUUUAUUUCUCAUAAAAGUCUUCUCUAAAAGAAGGAUGUUUGGAAAUUAAUAAAUUUCUUUCAUUACGGUUUUUCAACAAAAUAAUAUUUUCCAGUUCAAAGCUGGAAUAAAAUUGGUCACUUCAACGUUAAAUUUGAAAAAUAAAUAUACUCUCAAUUUGUCUAAUUUUCAUAUCUAAAUUGUUUAAAGCAAUUGUUUUUAACCUGUUACUAGAAAAUGUAUAGUUGUAGUUAUCCUCAUUUUCAUAUGACAAAAAUAUUCAUUUUAACAUAUUAGUUAAAGUCAUGUAGUUUGAGUUUUAGAAAUAGGGAAGUCAAGCAUUUUGGAACAUAUGAGAGUAUUACCCAAAUAUUGGAAUGGGUACAAAGACUUAUGUACUCAUUUGAUAGAAAUUUUACAUGUUUUCUUUUGGUUAUUUGGCUAUAUGUGAGAUUUAAACUUGUUUAUUUCAUUAUCUUUCAGUUUCAGGCCCUGUGUGAAGUAGUUGCAGAAGAGGGAAGGCCAUGGUAUGAGCUAGAAUGGUAGAACCGGAGAUGAGAAAUCAUAAGUAUUAUUGAGUCCUAAGAAAGUGAUUCCUCCUUAUUGUUGUAUGAGGUACUCUGGCUUUUCUAUAAGCUUAUACUUAUAUGUCCAAAUGACUGUUAAGUCUAUUUAUCGGUAAUAAACCAGGUCUAUAUUCUCUCACAUCUAAAAGUAUGCAUAGUAAUUUUAGUUGUAAGAUGAUUUGGUUAGAAUGCUUUUCACUUGGUUGAGUUCGGUUGAAUUAGUUCUUCAAGUGUCAUGGAUGUAGCUAUCACGCCUGUGUACAAGGUUUUGCAGAUAUUCUUUUAGUAAAUUUAUCGAUCUAUUUUAAUAUGAAGUGGUAGAUCUGGAACUACUUGUAAAAACCAACUCUGUUUGUCCCUAUUUAUGUGAUGCACUUUCCUUUUUAGUCUAUAUCAAAAAGAAUGAUACCUUAUUAUAUUUAGAAAUAAUUUAAAUUUAAACCUACCAUUUUACCCUUAAUGAGAUGAUAUAUAGUCACAAAUAUAUCUAUUACUUAGUUUAGACUACAAGUUUCAGAAGUCUUUCUUUCUUUGUUAAACUUUGUGCCUAGUCAAAUUGCAUUACAUAAACUAGAUGGAGGAGUAAUUUAUUAUAUCUUAUGUCUAAUUAGAUUAUUUUGUUGAAGAAUUCCUCAAUUGAAAAGGGUUAACAUUAAUUCGCUAAUGUUUGCAGCAUGUUAAGUUGCUUUUCAAUUACAUUACUAUUUGCAUUUUCCUAAGUUAUCAUGCAUUUUUUGUGUUUUUGGGUAUGUUUGGUUUGUGUGCAUACUACCGAAACUUAAAGGCAAGUACCACCGAAACUUAAAGGAAGACACUGUCACUUGGAAGUAACAUAAAAAUUAAUAAUUUCAUCAUGAAUUCCUUCUAAACGUUACUACUAAUAUUAGAAGUGAGAACAAGAUAAACUUUCUAUGAAAAUUCAGUAAAUAUGUUGCAUUAGUGUCUUUCUGUGGUAAGAUAUGAAAGGAUUAAUUUAGCUUUUCUUAAGUGAGUAGUUAGUAAAUAUGUUGCGUUCUUGUCUUUCUGUGGUAUGAUAUGAAAGGAUUAAUUCAGCUUUAUUUUUGUAUUGGCUUAAUACCAUCUUGGUAGUAGGAUAUUAUUAAUAAAUUACCUUUACUUAUCAAUUUUAGUUUGUUGGUUAGCUAUUUUGAUUAUUCUCUAUAUGUGUGAUGAGAUUCAAUCUUGUUUUGCUCUUCCAUCAAAUUGGCUUUUUCUGCUAGUAAAUAUAUUUUCAUGACCUAGAAACCUUGUUUGUGAAGUUGCAGUGUUCAUUGAACUUGUAGUAUGUUCAAUAGAUAUAUAGCAUCUGCUUGCUACUAAGCAACAAUUAAUACUUAAGUCAUGCAAGUUGAGCUUGAUGUAUUUGAUUUGUGAAGUUUCCAUUUGUUAGAUAAUAUUCAUACCGAAAGUUUUGAGGAAGCUUUCUUUCGAUUAAAGUGCUUUUCACUGUUAAGAUCAUGACAAUACACUUUGUCUGCAGAUCAUGGACAUGCAAGCCUAAUUAAAGCACAAAAGGAUUGAUGCAACUAACGCAAGAGAUCAUGGGAACUUCAAUGUAAUGGCCAAAUUCUCUUUUAGUGAACAAAUUGUCGCUCUUUUAUCAAUAUUUCACUAAAUUAUAGUCAUAUUUAGUAUGCUACUUGUUCAUUUAUGAAUUUCAGAUCUGAUUUCAAAAAAGCAUUGAUAGCAUGCACAAAACUUGUAUCAUGCUGGUGUAAUUUGAGAAGUUGAUUUAGUGAAAUGUAGCUCCUUAUCCUGGUGCAUAAGAGGGGUUGAUCUAAUUCAAUCUAGCCCAUCAAUUUGGUUCACAAAUGGAUCUUUAAGCUUGUGCAAGUACAUUUGGCACAUAUGGAAGACUUCCAUAUGAUCAAGGAAUGAAGAAAUUUGUUAGACUUGAAAUUUAUUGGAUUCAAAUGAUUUUCCUCCUCCUAUGUAUUUACACUUUGAAACAAUAAAUUAGCAGUUGUAUUUGUUUUGAAUAUAAUAAAAUACAUUUUGC
RNAcentral lists this long non-coding RNA (3238 nucleotides) under Nicotiana tabacum (common tobacco). Its description in RNAcentral is "long non-coding RNA (NTAB_LNC008524)". The record is from RNAcentral. Lineage: Eukaryota; Viridiplantae; Streptophyta; Magnoliopsida; Solanales; Solanaceae.